This 1769-nucleotide long non-coding RNA is filed under the name Homo sapiens (human). Its description in RNAcentral is "HSALNT0171386". Lineage: Eukaryota; Metazoa; Chordata; Mammalia; Primates; Hominidae. The record is from RNAcentral.
GUGGAUCACUGCACAUAAUUUUCACAAAAGCACUGAGCGUAGACAGCAUUAUCAUCCCUAGCAAACAGAUGAAAGCCAGCCCACAAAGAGUGAAUUGAGUUGAUGAAAGAGAUGCAGAAACAUUGAAAGCAAAUGAUCCUGUGCCUGUGACUGAACCCUCCUUGAUCUCCGAAGGGCAAGUGUUACACUGUUGCCCGUGUUUCAUCUGGAAAAAACAGAAGUACACAGAAGAAUGUGAUUUGUCCAAAGUCACCUCCUGUCAGGGAAGUCUUUUCCCAGUAUCAGUCAUCACUUUGCUGGGCCGGUCCAUGCCAGUCCAUGCUGGUCCAUGCCUGCCUGGUCAGGCUACAAUCUUCAUUCACAAAGAGUACACUGGGAAGUCAGAGAGACCUGGGUUCAAGUCUGAAGUAUUGAGUGACUCAGAAAAUUAUAUAACUCCCAGCUGUGCCUCAGUUUCCUAGUCUGAACAGUGGCCAUCAACACAGAUGUUUGUUUUUUUUUUUAAUUUAAUUUUUUUAUAUAUGUUUUUUUGAGACGGAGUCUCGCUCUGUCGCCAGGCUGGAGUGCAGCGGAACGAUCUCUGCUCACUGCAACCUCUGCCUCCUGGGUUCAAGUGAUUCUCCUGCCUCAGCCUCCUGAGUAGCUGGGACUACAGGCACACGUCACCACACCUGGCUAAUUUUUGUAUUUUUAGUAGAGACGGGGUUUCACCGUGUUAGCCAGGAUGGUCUCAAUCUCUUGACCUCAUGAUCUGCCCGCCUGGGCCUCCCAAAGUGCUGGGAUUAUAGGUGUGAGCCACUGCUCCCGGCCCCAGAUGCUUGUUUUGAGGAUUAUGUAAGUAAGGUAUUAUUUUAUUGGAGGAUGAACAGUAAGCCCUCAGUAUGCGGUAAUAUUAAAUGCAAUAGAAAUACAUGAAUCCAAGAUUUCUCAAACCUUUACCACCCUCCACUCCCCACAACCAGGUGGAACAGAUGCUCUGUGUCUAAUGUCAUACCGCCUUGGCCCACUUCUGACUUUCACGGGGACUGUGAGAGACAUUUUAAUUCAUUCUGAGUAUUUCUCCCACUUUAAAUUGGUGCCAUUUCUCCACGUUUUUCUGCUUUUGUGCUUUCUUCAAAGCCAUAGAAGUAGGCAAAGCCCAGCGGGCAACCUUGGGUCAAAUGAGGAAGACAGUCGACUGCAAAUGCCCUAGUCCAGCCUUCGGAUAGAAAUUCUCCAAGUCUUUCUGAACAGAGUCCUAGCAGAGUUGAGUGCUCAUUGUCCACAGCAGCAACCUUGCCCUGGCCUAUGCACAUUGAUUAACUGCAUGACUUUGGAAGCCACUUUACUGCCUCUGAACAAUGAAGCACAGUUGAAUGCUCACAGAUCUAUAUGCUAGCAGAAUCUGUCAUCAGUACACAUCAAGUAUCUGUGGUUCCCUCCUCCUAAGAGAGAGCCUACAGUAUAGAGUCUCCCUCAUGGUUUAUCUACCCAAGUCCUGCACCCAAGACUUGUUUAGUGAAGCUACAGAGGGAACAUAUAGGCCCAAUGAUUGUAUUCAGAUCUCAGCUGCUCACUGGAUCUGCUCAAAAGUACAGUGGGAAUACCCUACCUUGAAAUAAGAUGCAUUCAGCAUCCUUACUAACGUGUGAACCAUUCCAGUCAGGAUUCCUGCACUGGUGAGAAAGAAGACUAGGAAAUCACUCACAUCUCCAAUUCUGAUUUAUAGGAUUCUAUAAAUGUAAAAUCAAUAGGCAUAACACUCAGCAAAAUUUAAAAUAAAAUUUUAU